GAUGAAGAACGCAGCGAAAUGCGAUACGUAAUGUGAAUUGCAGAAUUCAGUGAAUCAUCGAGUCUUUGAACGCACAUUGCGCCCUUUGGUAUUCCAAAGGGCAUGCCUGUUCGAGCGUCAUUUGUACCCUCAAGCUUUGCUUGGUGUUGGGCGUCUUGUCUCUAGCUUUGCUGGAGACUCGCCUUAAAGUAAUUGGCAGCCGGCCUACUGGUUUCGGAGCGCAGCACAAGUCGCACUCUCUAUCAGCAAAGGUCUAGCAUCCAUUAAGCCUUUUUUUCAACUUUUGACCUCGGAUCAGGUAGGGAUACCCGCUGAACUUAAGCAUAUCAAUAAGCGGAGGA
Molecule: unclassified non-coding RNA, 341 nt
Filed under: soil metagenome
Description: partial contains 5.8S ribosomal RNA, internal transcribed spacer 2, and large subunit ribosomal RNA
Rfam family: 5.8S ribosomal RNA (bases 1-120)
Source: RNAcentral